RNAcentral lists this ribosomal RNA (253 nucleotides) under uncultured bacterium. Its description in RNAcentral is "partial 16S ribosomal RNA". It matches the Rfam family "Bacterial small subunit ribosomal RNA", at positions 524 to 776 of the family's 1533-position model. The record is from RNAcentral.
UACGUAGGGGGCAAGCGUUGUCCGGAUUCAUUGGGCGUAAAGAGCGUGUAGGCGGCCAGGUAGGUCCGUUGUGAAAACUCGAGGCUCAACCUCGAGACGUCGAUGGAAACCAUCUGGCUAGAGUCCGGAAGAGGAGAGUGGAAUUCCUGGUGUAGCGGUGAAAUGCGCAGAUAUCGAGAGGAACACCUGCGGCGAAGGCGGGUUGCUGGGCUGAUACUGACGCUGAGGCGCGAAAGCCAGGGGAGCGAACGGG